RNAcentral lists this unclassified non-coding RNA (242 nucleotides) under Glomus sp. RNAcentral describes it as "partial contains 5.8S ribosomal RNA and internal transcribed spacer 2". The stretch from base 1 to 71 matches the Rfam family "5.8S ribosomal RNA", at positions 84 to 154 of the family's 154-position model. Lineage: Eukaryota; Fungi; Glomeromycota; Glomeromycetes; Glomerales; Glomeraceae. The record is from RNAcentral.
GUGAAUCAUCAAAUUUUUGAACGCAAAUUGCACUCUCUGGUAUUCCGGAGAGUAUGCCUGUUUGAGUGUCAGUUUAAUUUAAAAUCGGUGUGGUGGCUGCCUUUCGUGGUGACGCACCGGAUUUGGGUCUUCUUGCCUUCGGUUAAGUGACCUAAAAUUUGGAAUGAUUUUUUCUAACGCUUUUAAAUGAUUUUAUGUACGUUUGCGAUAUCUAACUCUAGAUUUGUUCAUCUUCAUGAUUC